AAUAUUGGACAAUGUGUGAAAGCCUGAUCCAGCCAUGCCGCGUGGUUGAAUUAGGUCCNCGGUUUNUNAAUCACGUUAAGUUGGGNAGAAGGGAUGUAGAUAAAUACUCUGCAAUUUUGACGUUACCGACAGAUUAAGCACCGGCUAACGUCGAUGCAGCAGCCGCUGUAAUACGAAGAGUGCAAGCAUUAAUCGGAAUUCUCGGGCGUAAAGCGCGCGUAGGUGGUUCGUUAAGUUGGAUGUGAAAGCCCCGGGCUCAACCUGUGAACUGCAUCCAAAACUGGCGGGCUAGAGUACGGUAGAGGGUGGUGUAAUUUCCUGUGUAGCGGUGAAAUGCGUAGAUAUAGGAAGGAACACCAGUGGCGAAGGCGACCACCUGGACUGAUACUGACACUGAGGUGCGAAAGCGUGGGGAGCAAACAGG
This 424-nucleotide ribosomal RNA is filed under the name uncultured bacterium. RNAcentral describes it as "partial 16S ribosomal RNA". It matches the Rfam family "Bacterial small subunit ribosomal RNA", at positions 360 to 776 of the family's 1533-position model. The record is from RNAcentral.